Prionailurus viverrinus (fishing cat) is the source of this 1411-nucleotide long non-coding RNA. RefSeq lists it as uncharacterized. The transcript is spliced from 2 exons. The record is from RefSeq and is a predicted model, not a curated record. NCBI's taxonomy places the organism in Eukaryota, Metazoa, Chordata, Mammalia, Carnivora, Felidae.
AGCUGUCAGCACAGAGCCCGACGCGGGGCUCGAACUCACGGACCGCGAGAUCAUGACCUGAGCCGAAGUCGGCCGCUCAACCGACUGAGCCACCCAGGCGCCCCAGGAGAGAAACCUUUUAAGUGUGAGUGUGGCAAGGGCUCCCCUCAGAGCUCCAACCUUUGCAUCCAUCAGAGAGUCCACACUGGAGAGAGACUCUACACAUGUGAUAAAUGUGGUAAGGGCUUCAGUCAGAACAUAGAUCGCCAAGUGCAUCAGAGAGUCCACACAAACGUGAAACUCUGAAAACACAGACAUAUGCUCAUCUGAAAGUCCACAGAGGAGAGAAACUCAACAAGUGUGUGUGGAAAAAUCCUGUGACAUGAAAUUAUGUGUCAAGCUCUGGACUGACAAGCUCCACAGAAGGUUGAUUCCAUCACAAAGAGGUUUAUGUUAGAUAUAACCAAUAAGUAACCCAGCACCCGUGCCAAACAAGGUUUUCCUCCUGGAAAGAUGCCCCUUACCUGGCAGAGGCCCUUCUAGACUGAAAGCCUCCUGGCUCUAAUUGAGCAUCUCCCCGUCCAUCAUGUCACCAGGCUUCUGGGUGCCUUGCAGCAUGGAUUAUAGAAGUCUCGAGGUAAGGCAUCUUCAGAGUAGAUGUCUGUAGAAGAGACAGCUAAAGAAAGGGGCUGGGUCAGGAGAGGAAAGCAAGUCUGAAAGGAAAUGAUUAGAGGGAAAGGAAAAAGAACAGUGCCUAGGAGGGAGGUUGUGGGAUGGUGGGGGUAGAAAGCCCAGAGGCUUCUCCAAAGUUUCAAACAAGUGUGGUGACCCCAGUACAGGGCUUUCCCUGAGUAGUCUGAGCUGAGUAGAGGGUGAGCUGUAGUGGGUAGAGAUGGACCCCAUCAGUGUUAGGGCCAGUUGGGACCAGAGGUGGAAAAGCUGCUGUGAAGGGCCUUGGAAAGCAACUCCAUGCUUCAUUGUUUCCCCAAGUGGCCCAAGUCAGGUGGGACCAUUAUCCCCCCCAAUGGAAGGAGGGAUCCUAUAGGAAGGCAGUAAUAAGACUGACUCCCUUCAGGAGGCAUAAAUUAAUCAGAGACGGAGCCUGAGGGCCUGGCCAUGAAGCAGGAAGACUGGGGCCAGGAGGUUAGGAAGAGGUUAGGGACCCAGCUUCAUCAUUAAAUGUGAGUAAGGAAGAGAGCUUUUUGUCUAAAUUCUUUGUACUAUGUGCCCCUAGGCAGCCAUUGCAAGGGGAAGGAUAUCCACCAUUAGAGAGACUUUGGGGCUCUAGGAGGACUGUCAGCUGACCUGUCCAGAGACCAUCGGCUCACAUUGGGAGCCGGUGUUGGUAUGCCCAAGGGCUAUAAUGGCAACUGGCUUGUGAGAGGCCCUCAAAUAUUGAAUGAGGGUGUUAAUAAAAUUCCAACAACUCACA